GGGACUCAUGAAAAACAUAGUGAAAAAACAUGUGAAAUUCGUAGAAGAACUCAUAAGAACAUAGUAGAAGAAAUACACAGGAAAACAUAGUAGAAGAAAUUAAUAAGAAAUAUAGUAGAACAAACACACAAGAAACUCAACAAAAAUUAGAGAAGCAUUUGGAUAACUUUAACAAAAACCCUAAAUCGGAAAAAGAAAGGUUUCGAAAGUAUAGUUUUAAAAGAAACCUCUUAGGUUUAAGGAAAACAUAGAUCUAGAACAGAUCUAGAGAAAUCAAAAGGACCUCAAAAGGUUAGGAUUUCAGAAGAAACCAGAUGUUGAGAAAGGCCUGGAAGAGUCGUUGGUCUAAGCAAGAGAGGUCGAGAUCAGGCACAAAACAACCAUGGCUUGCCGGAGUAAGGCCGGAGACGGCCAUAGAACUUGAGUCAAACGAAGCCUGGACCAAGCUUCUUUGUGGUCAGGCCUUGAAACUUCAGUAACCAAGUGUGUAAGAGUCAUAGGAGGCCCGUAUCAGACUCCAAUGGCCUGGGAAGCCAUGGAUUCUGGUGGCUUAAGGUAGAAGUGGAGAGAGGUGACUAAGGUUUCUGAGAGAGAUUGAGAGAGAGUUGAGAAAAUGGGGAUUCAAGGGUGG
RNAcentral lists this long non-coding RNA (631 nucleotides) under Nicotiana benthamiana. RNAcentral's name for it is "long non-coding RNA (NBEN_LNC041769)". Lineage: Eukaryota; Viridiplantae; Streptophyta; Magnoliopsida; Solanales; Solanaceae. The record is from RNAcentral.